AGUGAACGCUGGCGGCAUGCCUAACACAUGCCAGUCGAACGGUAACACCUUAAUAGCUUGCUAUUACGGGUGGACUGUGGCGGAGUACUGAGGAAUACAUCGGAAUCUACGUGUUCGCGGGGUGUAACUUAGGCUAAUUUACGCUACUACCUCCUACGAACUACGGGUGAUAGCAGGCGAUCGUGGGAACUUACGCGCUUGUGGGAGCGGAUGUCGGAGUAGCUAGUUGGCGGGGUAAAGGCGAACCAAGGCGACGAUCGGUAGCUGGUCUGAGAGGAUGAGCAGCCACACUGGAACUGAGACACGGCCCAGACUCCUACGGGAGGCAGCAGUGGGGAAUGUUGGACAAUGGGCGCAAGCCUGAUCCAGCCAUACCGCGUGGGGGAAGAAGGCCUUCGGGUUGGAAAGUGCUUUUGUUGGGAACGAAAAGGAGCACGCUAAGACAGGGGGGUUAUGACGGUACCGAAAGAAUAAGCACCGGCUAACUACGUG
RNAcentral lists this ribosomal RNA (492 nucleotides) under uncultured bacterium. RNAcentral's name for it is "partial 16S ribosomal RNA". It matches the Rfam family "Bacterial small subunit ribosomal RNA", at positions 29 to 507 of the family's 1533-position model. The record is from RNAcentral.